This 5458-nucleotide long non-coding RNA is filed under the name Sus scrofa (pig). Its description in RNAcentral is "lncRNA (ENSSSCG00000047016.1)". Lineage: Eukaryota; Metazoa; Chordata; Mammalia; Artiodactyla; Suidae. The record is from RNAcentral.
UUUUAUGUCUUUGUCAUAUAUCCCCACACAUAGACUCUGUGAAAUUUAGACUCUGUGAAAGCAGAGGGUUUUUUUUGUUUGUUUGUUUUUGCCUUUUCUAGGGCCGAUUCCCGAGGCAUAUGGAGGUUCCCAGGCUAGGGCUCUAAUCGGAGCUGUAGCCGCUAGCCUACGCCACAGCCACAGCAACGCAGGAUCCGAGCCUCAUCUGUGACCUACACCGCAGCUCACAGCAAUGCCAGAUCCUUAACCUGCUGAGCGAGGCCAGGGAGCGAACCUGCAACCUUAUGGUUCCUGGUCAGAUUCGUUAACCACUGCGCCAUGACGGCAACUCCGAGAUUUUUUAAUUAUUGCUCUCUCCCCAACUCAUAUAACAGUGCCUACCUAGCAUGUAUAAGUGGCAGUUCUAGUUGUGGCACAGCAGAAACAAAUCCCACUAGUACCCAUGAGGAUGCGGGUUCAAUCUCUGGCCUCACUCAGUGGGUUAGGGAUCCGGUGUUGCCGUGAGCUAUGGUGUAGGUUGCAGACCUGGCUCGGAUCUGGCAUUGCUGACUGUGGUAUAGGCUGGCAGCUGUAGCUCCGAUUCAACCUCUAGCAUGGGAACCUCCAUAUGCCUCUGGUGCAGCCCUAAAAAAGCAGAAAGGAAGGAAGGAAGGGAGGGAGGAAGGAAGAAAGGAAAGAAAGAAAGAUAGGAAGUAAAAUCCUUAAGAAGUAUAGCUUGGGAGAGUACAGUUUGUAUAGUUUAUUCUUUGGGUUUUACACUUUUCUCUGAGAAGCUUUGAAUAUAGUGUAUUUUUGUUUUAUCAAACACAAAUGAAAGCCAUUCCUACCACAUCAUAACAUCCAAGACAAUUCUGUCCCAUCUGGCCACAACCUUAAAAAACUACAUUCAUUAUAAUAAUAUCUAAUGGAAGCUGCUGACACAGCCCUUAGUCAGUAAAGAUUUAGAAGACCAUCACACCAAUACUGGUGUGUGGUAUUAAUCACACCAUCAUUAAUAAGUUCGAAAAUAACAAGUGCUGGAGGGGAUGUGGAGAAAAGGGAACCCUCCUGCACUGCUGGUGGGAAUGUAAGCUGGUUCAUCCACUAUGGAGAACAGUAUGGAAGUAUCUUAGAAAACUAUAUGUAGAACUACCAUAUGACCCAGCAAUCUCAUUCUUGGGCAUAUAUGCAGACAAAACUCUCCUUAAAAAAGACACAUGCACUCACAUGUUCAUUGGAGCACUAUUCACAAUAGUCAAGACAUGGAAUCAACCCACAUGUCCACCAAUAGAUGAUUGGAUUAGGAAGAUGUGGUAUAUAUACACAAAGGAAUAGUACUCAGCCAUGAAAAAGAACAAAAUAAUGACAUUUGCAGUAACAUGGAUGGAACUAGAGACUUUCAUCCUGAGUAAAGUAAGUCAGAAAGAGAAAGACAAAUACCGUAUGAUAUCACUUAUAUCUGGAAUAUAAUAUACGGCACAAAGGAACCUUUCCACAGAAAAGAAAAUCAUGGACUUGGAGAACAGACUCGUGGUUGCCAAGGGGGAAGGGGCCUAGGGAGGGAGGGACUAGGAUCUUGGGGUAAGUAGAUGCAGAAUGUUGCCUUGGGGAUGGAUUAGCAAUGGGAUCCUGCUGUGUAGCACUGGGAAUUCUGUCUAUUCACACACGAUGGAACACGUAAUGUGUAAAAAAAGAAUGUAUACAUGUAAGUGUAACUGGGUCACCAUGCUGUACAGUAGAAAAAAAUAUAUAUAAAUAAAUGAUAAAAAAGGAUUUGUAAGACCAAAAUUGUGGUAAAAUUCAGUCCAGGGGCAUUAUCCCUGGACUUGUUUUUCUUAGAUGCUGAUAAUAACCCUGAAAAUUUGUCAAAUCAAGCUUCUGAUGUUAAUUUGGGGUUAUCAGUUUUCUGCACAUACAAGUAAUUGGGUUUGAAAUGUGUUUUAAGCCUGAAUUAAAAGAACUUAGUCACUGGUGACUCAUGGUGAGUUUUUCCUUUUCCCUGCUGGGACAUAUGCCAUUGCCUACAUCCAACCUGGCCUUUUCGAAACAUUGAAAGCAUUAAGAAUUCUGUUUUUAUGUACUGGGUUCUGGAGAAGUUCUUUUAGGUUUAGGGUGGUGUGGCCUUAAUUAAGAUGCUUUUUAGUAAUGGGCACUACAACUGACUUUCAAAAUUUCCAUGCAAAUUUCUUUAGUCUCUGCCUUUAUGGAAGUUUUCUCAUUAUAUAUGAAACAGUUGGAAGUCUACUAGAUGGUGCAUGAAUGACCACAGGGACUUUGUUUUGUUUGGUACUGUAUUCUUAUUGCUUUGCACAGAGAAAGCAAUUACUACAUCUUUGUUGAGUGAAGUCACAUACACUCUUUUUUUUUUUUUUUAAAAGAUCUUCACUCUAUACAUACUAGCCUAAUACAGUGCAUUUUAGAACAAUCAUGAAAGUUUAUUGAAAUAAAUUUCCUCCAGGUCUUUUGAAUUAGGUCAUCACUAAUUCCCAAUCAACCUAGUUUGGGAGGCUCUUGGUACUAGCCCAAGGUAGUUCUGCCCUAAUAGUUCUUAGCAUUGAUUGUGCCAACCUGACAUCUCCUUUAGCAGUUCACUUACCAAAGGAAGGGCAAACCGGCAACACCCAUAAGGCACUUGCACCUGUGGGAACCAAUGGGAGUUGUAACAGGAAAUACUUCAGCUUGCAGUACCGAUAGUAAUGAGCAGCGCCCAGGUCACGCUUUGUUUUAUCUGCAGUUUGUUAUUUGGAUUGUACAAGGUUUCUUGGAGUUUAUAUAUAUGACACAUGUAUAUAAGUUUAAAAGAGAAUUAACUUUAAAUUUGAAAAUUAAAGUGUGAAUGGUUCCUGGCAUUUUCUUCAUUAUCAAAGAAUUGGUGGUGAGUUGUCCUCCUUUAAAUAAGUUCUUUCUUUAGCUUAUAGUGUUGUGUCCCGGAAACCUCAUUCUGGCACAUAAGGAGGGGGGAGAUGGAGGGUGGGUAAAUGUAAAAUAACUAAAACUUAGGCUGAUACUAUCAGUAAAAACAACCAUUAUGGUAGGCAUUGAUAGAAUUGUGUAGAUUUUAACUUCAGAUUUUUUGAGCUGGGGGUAUUUUCCUCUGCUGUAGGGACUGGAGGGAAAAAAAUAGGAAAAAUUUUUAGAAAGCUCUAUGCAGAAUUUCAAAAUGCAAGGCUGUAUGAAACGCUGUUGAUGUUAACUGUCUGACCAGGAAGUACUCUCUUUAAGCCUCAUUUAUAAAACUGUGUCUAUAAUAACUUCCUUUCUCGGGAUGAAGGUGCUGAUAGCAUGGUCUUGUUCUUAGCAACUGAAGUGGAGUUCGGUUUUAUCUUUCCUUAAGUGAAUAAGAGGCAGCUUUUUAAAGAAAACCAUCUGUGGGACAAUCUUAGUGUUUGCUGUGGCUAAAUAAAGAAUUUGUAAAGUCUUUAGUUGUUGGAUUGGAAAUGUAAGACAUCCAUUUGAGAAGGUCUACUGUGAGUAAGCUUAGUGUUUUGUUUUACAUUUAAUGUUUUAUUAUAAAUAUGGUUUAUGUCUAAACAUAGCUAAUAAACUGUUGAAUUUCCUGUGAAUAUUUAUGACCUUAGCUCAAAGUCCAGCUGAGAGCAAUCAACCUCAAAAGUCACUGGGUUCAUAUGCUCUAUUUUAAUUUGUAAUUUGAUAUUUUACAACUAAAUAUUAGUGGGAAUUUUUUUCAAAAUGUUUUGAUUUUUCCUUUCUCCUGGAGAAUUAAUACAGAACGGCAAAUAAAACAUCAAAUCUUGUCAGAAGAGCCUCUGAAACAAAAAUAUUAAAUAUACUGAAGAUCAUCUUUAUUAAAUGAAUGCAGUUUAUGCUAAUGAUAUUAUCACUAUAAGACAAUAUUUCAAAGUUAAGCUACUCAAAAUGGCACACUAUUCAUCCUGGAAAUCUUAAAAAAUAACAAGGCCACUUCCUCUCUGUCUUUUACAGAAAGGGCAUAAGAACAGAAAGCAGAGCCAUUUCUUUAAUGUAAUAUCAGUUUUAGAGACAGAAAAGUCAGGAGAUUUGGUCACAUUUACUUCUUUUUCUUUUUGUUGUUGUUGUUUAGUAAUUAAGGUUAGUUACUAAAGUAUAAAAAUAAAAUAUCUUAGGUAUGAGAUAAUAAUUUAUGAGAUUACUUUAGUCCAUAAAGUGAAAUUAGAUGAAGUUGGCAAGUAUAUAAUUUUGUACUUAAUAUCUCACAGAUUGUAUAUUUAAAAAUUCGUGCAAAAUAUUUUAUAAUCCAAGAAAGGUACCUUAAUAGUUUCCUUCUCAUAUUUACUAGGCUUUAGGAACAAGGUUUAAAUGAAAUGUGUAUAACCCACUCCUAAUAUUUUACUUAAUGGAUGUGUAAAUUAAAGUCUUAUAAUUGUACAUAGGAUACAUUUUCAUUCAAGAGGCAUCGCAGCAGAUAUUACAGAUUUGGGGACACGUAUUCUUCCAUAUAAAAAAAGAAAUUAAAACUUUCAAAUAAUCUUUGAAAUACAUGGUUUUUGUUCCUUUGGAUGUAUGAAUGUUAAAGACUUAAAAGUGCAAAUGAUGUAAAUUUCAGUAUUCAUAGAUAAGGAGGACAUUUAUCAUGAUUGAGAAUUAUAUUAGCGCUCCAAAAGUAUUCCAGUCAGUUUGGGUGGGGGUGGGCCAGAGGAAGUGGGUGGGGCUUCACAGUAGUGACAGAUUACUGCAGAUCUUCUGGCUGCCUGCCAAAACACCACUAGUUGGAAGGAAAAGUGGUAGUUACUAAUUGCAUCCUACUAAUUUGUACAUGUUCAUUUAAGCAGUUAUAACCGUUUGCUGUUUCCAUGCUCAGAUGACAAGUUUUAAACUCUGACUUACUUGACAUGUGCAUAAUCUUCUGGAGUGGACCUUAGUCGUAUCUAUUAUCUUCAGUCUGCAGUGAUCACACUGACUCUUUUGUGAAAGACCAUGUGUUAGCAGAAAAAAAGAGGGAUGAGGGGAAACAACUUGAAACUAUAACUGCUUUACUUUCUAGUGAAAAAUAUUGUGGAGUUAAAAUGUAAAGUGUCCCAUCAUAUUUAGACAAUUUGUAUGAAAUACUAAUAAAAAUAAUCAUCUCUUGCAAAGGAGUUUGCAGUUCUGCUGUUCUGGUUCAGCUUAAAAUUGGGAUUCUUACUGUUGCAACAUAAAAGGAAGCUUUGUGGAGGAAAUAUGACAUCUCUGCCCAGAUACAUAAGGAGGAGAGUUAUUUUUAAAAGUGUUUUCUUAUGAAUAUAUUUUAUGUACUGAGAAGUAUCUUUAAAAAGCUCAUUUUGGGGAGUUCCCGUUGUGGCACAGUGGAAACAAAUCUGACUAGUCUCCAUGAGGAUGCGGGUUUGAUCCCUGGCCUCACUAAGUAGGUUGGGGAUCCAUUGUUGCUGAAAGUUAUGGUGUAGGUUGCAGACACAGCUCAGAUCCCAAGUUGCUGUAGCUGUGGCAUAGGCUGGCAGCUAUAGCUCUGUUUGGAUACCUAGCCUGGGAAUUUCCAUAUGCC